Podarcis lilfordi (Lilford's wall lizard) is the source of this 689-nucleotide non-coding RNA. NCBI's taxonomy places the organism in Eukaryota, Metazoa, Chordata, Lepidosauria, Squamata, Lacertidae. The record is from the annotation of a GenBank genome assembly.
AGAACCUCGGUGUAAGAGGCAAGAGUCGUCCGCGACUGGACCUAACGGUCUGGGGUCCCUUUACCUCCCCUCAACAUAGGAUUCUGUAACUAAAACCCUCAACAUGGAAUCUUUGCUGUAGAAACAUACUACUAGGUGUGCUGUUGAACCAUCAUUUUAUAUAUAGAGAGAGGCAUUGUAGGGAAAUCUUCAGGUGUUUGCAAGGCAGAUUUUAACUUUUUAUAUGGUUCUUAGCACAUGGUUUUAUGUGCAAUUGUUGUAAACUGCUCCAAUAUUUUUUAUGGGUGUUUGCUGUUGUGCCACACCUACUGGAGUGAGUAAAAUUUAGUGCAGCGUGCCAAUAUAUUGGUCAAAUGCCACAGUUCAGGACUGUCAGAAAAUGGGGCAGAAGUUCUAGCAUUAUACUGUGAUCCGGAAAACUCACACAAUACUGCCCCAUCUGAAUGCACCCUUCAAGUCCGGGGCGCCCCACCCUUUUUUGCCCCCAACAUGACUGUUGUCUGCCAGGCGCUCAAAAAGAUGAGUCGGACCAUUUCCAAGCAAUCCAAAGUUCACGGGUGGAGUCGUAUCUCCAACACUUAACAGGUACUUCUAAAUUUUAUGUAAGUCUGCUUACAUAUUACAUACAUGGAAGGGAGCCAAGUGGGCUCUGCCUGUUGAGAAAUGUGAAUUUUCUGCUUGAAGACUGC